GGGGGAUUAGCUCAGUUGGCUAGAGUAUUUGCCUGGCAGGCAAGGGGUCACCGGUUCGAGCCCGGUAUCCUCCA
RNAcentral lists this transfer RNA (74 nucleotides) under Saprospiraceae bacterium. Its description in RNAcentral is "tRNA-Ala". It matches the Rfam family "tRNA". From Rfam's summary of the family: Transfer RNA (tRNA) molecules are approximately 80 nucleotides in length. Their secondary structure includes four short double-helical elements and three loops (D, anti-codon, and T loops). Lineage: Bacteria; Pseudomonadati; Bacteroidota; Saprospiria; Saprospirales; Saprospiraceae. The record is from RNAcentral.